GUGGGAGAGAGGAAGAAGAGGAGGGGGUGAUGUGGGAGUGGGGACUAAAUGACGUAAUUGGUUAGGGGUUAUUUGUGGAGGUGUAAUUAAAGGGGGAGUAAUUAGAGAGGGUAAAAUGUAUAGUGUAUAGUGUACAGUGUAUACAUGCAUGGGACGCCCAGGCUGGCGAGGCAUCAUCCUAAAGGGGUCCAGUGAGCAGGGCACCGCCAACAGCAGUAGCAGCAGCAGCAGGAAUAGCAGAGCAGCAGCGGCAGCAGCAGCAUUAGGAGCGAGUGUGGUGCAGGGCCACUGGGACAAGGCCGGGGUGUAUGGGGCAUGGCGUGGGCAUGGACAUGGGAGGGGCGGCAAGCGUGGUAAUGGGUAUAGGGGAGGAGGGCGGACAGCUGACGCCUCCCGGGCGGUGGGGGGUGGGAGCCUCCCGCCGUUACUUUGCAAUGUUGCAGCUGGCGUCCCCCCCUUCCUGCUCCCCACCGAGGCAGGCCGGCCAGCGUCCUGCGGCAGAGCAUCGGGCGGCGUGCAGGCCGGGGCGGCAGUGUGGCGGGGCCAGCCUUCCUGACGGUGGCGACGCAACGGCACUGGCGGCGUGUGGCGGCGUGGGUCGCCCCGGCAACCGUUGCCAUGGUGACGAGUCGGAGAUUUGAUACCGCCACGCUGAAUGGAUUAUUGAUGCAACGCCGCUGGUUCCCGCUGCAACCACCAGAUGCCGCGCCAAUCGCCGCCGUCUUAAUUAUAAGGAGAAUGUAGGCAAUUAACGCAGUAAGGAGAUUAGCGCAUUGUACCAGUAAUUAGUCGGCGUCGGGGCGGCGCGGGAGCAUCAAGGUGCCACUCUGGCUGGAGGCGCGGACGGGGGCGCCACCUCGCGCUCCUCUCUACUGACGGAGGAAGGGAGGGCCUUCACACCACGCCCAGGGGCCCGCGUUUGGAGUACGUGCAUCAGACGAGGACCAGAUGACGAGGUUCAUGAGAGAGGGAGACGGAGAUGAGCAACACGGCAAGGCGCGCAUGACGGGUGGCGAGGACGAAUGGGAGGCGCGGCAGAUAACAAAAAGAAAUCGGAAGACUACAAUACGAGCAGCAGUGGUGGGAAAUAACACGAAGAUUUCAGACAGGAGUCCCUCAAUGCCAGUCAGGAAUACGUAAUCUCUGGCAGUGAACGCACCUAACGCCCAAACUCAGCCAACAGAACGAAGCUUUAGGCAAAUCCCAAACAGAAAACUUACGCAUUUACAUUUUGCAUUACGUCUUAAUCUGAAAUAGCCACUAAUAAUAUUCUUGAAGGAAAGGUGUUUUGUUUGACUUUUAUCAGACGGAAAAAAAUAUAUAUGAAAAAAACGUAGAUAAGUAAGCCAAAAUAACCCACAAAAACUACAACAUCAAAGGCAAAUAAUUACGUGUGUAUUAGAGUUUAGUCAUAUUCUUUAGUGGCCAUUCCCUGAAAGAAAAAAUAGAGAGAAAAAAAAAGUGAAAAUACAAAUCUCCCUGUUUCUUUAGCGUGUGAGGUGGUGGUGAAAAGAAGAGAAUCGCGCACUUGUUGUUGAGUCCAGUUAAAGGUUUUUGAGGCGAGGAGGGAAAAAUGCGCGAGUGAAGUGACGAAGCAACAGGCGAGUUUGUGAAGGGACUCAGGACACGACGAGAGGACCAUGAUGAGCCAGAAAAGGAGGAAAUCACGGUGACUAUGACGUCUGAAGUGCGGCAAGAAAAAGAUGGCGAGGAUGAGGACGAGGAGGAGUAGGAGGAAGGAAGAAAUUAAAGAGGAGGAAAAGAUGGAGGAGAAAAAGGAAUAAGAAAGGGUUGGAGGAUACAAAAUCAUUCUAUUCUUUUUCAUUCUUUCUCUAUGUACAUCUUGUAUGAUAGAUAUUUUUUUCUUUCCUUUUUUUCUAUUUGGGACUUUUCUUUCCUUACUUCCUACCUUUUCUUCUAUCAUCCUUUCCAUCUUUUCUCUUUACAUUCCUCAUUUUUCAUGCAUCUUCAACAUUUAGUCUUCUAUUUUCUCUUUUCUCUUCCUCCUGCCCCUCCUGCUUCUGUUUCUCCUCCUCCUCCUCCUCCUCCUCCUCCUCCUCCUCCUCCUCCUCCUCCUCCUCCUCCUCCUCCUCCUCCUGCUCUUCUUCCUUCUCCUCCUCCUUCUUCUCCUCCUCCUCCUCCUCCUCCUCCUCCUUCUCCACUUCCUCCUUUUCCUUCUCCACUUCCUCCUCCUCCUUCUUCUCCUCCUCCUCCUCCUCCUCCUCCUCCUCCUCCUCCUCCUCCUCCUCCUCCUCCUCCUCCUCCUCCUCCUCCUUCUUCUCCUUCUUCUCCUUCUCCUCCUCCUCCUCCUCCUCCUCGGAAGUUCCCAGGCGCCGUGGACAACUUUCCCCACUCAGGGAGCGGCAACCCACCGGGGCAAGACGUGACUCUCCACCUGCUCCUCCACCACACAUCCUGCUCCUCCACCCAGCUCCACCAGGCUCCACCCCGCCACGCCCCGCCCCGCCCUGAACAGACCCGCCCCACCACGCCGCUAGCCAUGCAUAGCUGUUAUUUGCGUUUUGUUUCUUUCCUUGAGUUUAUUAGUGUCUGUAAUUUCGUCCUCUUCUCAGCUAAGUUUUCUCUCUCUCUCUCUCUCUCUCUCUCUCUCUCUCUCUCUCUCUCUCUCUCUCUCUCUCUCUCUCUCUCUCUCUCUCUCUCUCUCUCUCUUAUCUAUAUGUUCUUUUUUUCAUAUCCUCAGGCUUAAAUUCAGUGUUUCUCUCAUUUUUUUUUUCUUUUCGUUUACUUACCUGCUAUUGUUUGUAUAUGUCUCAGUCUCCCUUUAUUUAUUUAUUUUUUGUCUUAGUGUUCAUCAUUCUCUGUCCCUCUGUGCUUGUCUGUCUUUGUUUGUUACUCUUUCUUCUCAGCCUCAAUCUCAGUCUUGUUCUUUUUCUUUUAUAUAAUUCUGCAUCUAUCAGUUUGUUUUUUCGUCUUUGUUAUGGUCUCUCUCUCUCUCUCUCUCUCUCUCUCUCUCUCUCUCUCUCUCUCUCUCUCUCUCUCUCUCUCUCUCUCUCUCUCUCUCUCUCUCUCU
This is a long non-coding RNA of Scylla paramamosain (green mud crab), 3031 nucleotides long. RefSeq lists it as uncharacterized. NCBI's taxonomy places the organism in Eukaryota, Metazoa, Arthropoda, Malacostraca, Decapoda, Portunidae. The transcript is spliced from 5 exons. The record is from RefSeq and is a predicted model, not a curated record.